UACGUAGGGUGCGAGCGUUAAUCGGAAUUACUGGGCGUAAAGCGUGCGCAGGCGGCGCGUUAAGACAGGUGUGAAAGCCCCGAGCUUAACUUGGGAAUUGCGCUUGUGACUGGCGUGCUGGAGUGUGGCAGAGGGAGGUGGAAUUCCACGUGUAGCAGUGAAAUGCGCAGAGAUGUGGAGGAACACCGAUGGCGAAGGCAGCCUCCUGGGCCAGCACUGACGCUCAUGCACGAAAGCGUGGGGAGCAAACAGG
This 253-nucleotide ribosomal RNA is filed under the name uncultured bacterium. RNAcentral describes it as "partial 16S ribosomal RNA". It matches the Rfam family "Bacterial small subunit ribosomal RNA", at positions 524 to 776 of the family's 1533-position model. The record is from RNAcentral.